RNAcentral lists this ribosomal RNA (1134 nucleotides) under Triticum aestivum (bread wheat). RNAcentral's name for it is "partial small subunit ribosomal RNA". The record is from RNAcentral. Lineage: Eukaryota; Viridiplantae; Streptophyta; Magnoliopsida; Poales; Poaceae.
AUGCCUCCCGGAGGCCGCCGAGAAAAGUACACAAGAGAACAUGAACAUUCCACCGCAGCCGGGGAGCACCCGCACUCGACAACGACACCUCCAAGAGGGAAAUGGCACACCGCGCCACGUCACCGCUUCCGCCGAAACCAAAAAAAUUCCGGCCUCCGAGUAAUAGAAAACAAGAACCGCACUAGACUGAAGUGGGUGUCUGAAUUAUUCAUGAGCGGCACAAGAAGAUGGGAUGAAAAUUUAAUCAGGCACCUGUUCUAUCACCAUGAUGCCGAGGAGAUCCUAAAUUUACGUAUUCAGUGUGCCGGAGAGGGUGAUCUAAUCGCUUGGCAUUAUGAGAAAAAUUGUAUGUUUUCUGUUAAAAGUGCGUACAGACUGGCCUUAAAUCUUAAAGAUUUUAAGGACGAGGCAGGAAUAUCUAGCUCUAUGGAUAUAGAGGAGAGACGGGUGUGGGAUGUUAUUUGGAAGGCCAAAGUUCCUCAAAAAAUUAAAAAAAUUGCAUGGCGAGCCGCGUCCAAUAGUUUGGCGACCCAGGUAAACAGAGUUGCUCAUCAUCAAACGGUGUCAUUACGAGAGCAAGUUAUGUUCAUGUUCUGGAGAGCUUGGCACCCGAGGAAUGAUCUGAUCUUUGGAAAGGGGAAAGAAUCAUUAUCUAACUCUGUUAUCUUUGUGGGAAACUACUGGAACUCCUUUACGACAGCAAAUACUUGUGUGCAAGUGGAUUUGAGCAACAAAGGUAAGGGGGUGAUCGACAAUGGAAGGUAUGUAACUCAACCAGAGUUUGGUCGUCGAGUCUGGGAGCCCCCGGAUCCUGACUACAUUAAGACUAAUGUGGAUGCUAGUUUCGUGGACGGUAUGAGAUCUGCCAGUGUUAGGGUUGUGGCCAGGAAUAACCUAGGCGAAGUCUUGGCUUCAUUAUGGGAUUUUAUCCGCUUAUGUACUAGUGUGGAUGAAGCGGAACUGCAUGCGGCCCUUGCCGGGUUAUACAUCGGUAUUACUUUUCAUAUACCAAUUAUUCUGGAAACUGAUUGUGCUUUUCUUACAUCCUUUCUGGCCAAAGAUUCCAUUGACAGGUCUCCUCUUAGGGAUCUCAAAAAGGAGGCGUCGAGCGUAUCAAGACUUAUGAGGAAUUAA